CCCUUAUGGAUCCACUUCUGACUUUGGCUCAAAAACUGCAGUAGCAGUAUUCCAAAAAACAAGUGGAAACUUAGCCUUAGCGUGUUGAAUCCCUAACAUAUUCACAAAGGUGCUUUUUUGCAACAGUUUUUCACAAAGACUGCUGCAUUUUGUCACCAUGUUUACAAAUAUCUCAUAAAAACUGUGAUAUGUGACAUGCUAAUACACCAUUUAGAAUUUACAAUUUUCAAUGUUGUAUCUAUUACAGGUAACAACUACUCUUGAAAGGACACAUGUUAAAAAGACAAUGCGGAAUUGGGCAUUCCAUGCAUCUUGUAGACCCUUUGGAUAAAGAAUCAGGGGAUGGCUGCAAGGAUCACUGUUUCUACCUAGAACUGCAGAUGAAAGUUCCAUGAUUUGCAAGGUACGUGUCAAGGACGGAUAUAUAAAAGGAAUUCUUAUUUAUUCACAACUGCAAGACUAAUUGCUUCACUUUGCCUGAAGGCCUAGAGAUUGGUUUUAAUAUGGCACUUCAAAAGUAUGCAUAGAAGUACAGAGAUAGUAAGUGUUAUUGUUUAAGAGGGGAAAAAUCUCAAUAUGAUAUUUGUGACCCUGAAAUGAAAAAUCUAUUUUAUUGACUGAUGUGAAAAUGUUUAUCAGUGCUAUUUUUAAUAUUUAGCUGUACCUUGAAGGUGAAAUGUAUUCUAAUGUAAUGAAAGGCAACAAUUAAGAAUGUAGAAUUUAAAUACAGAAACUUACAUAUUGGUUAAAUGUUUACUUGAAAUCUGUAUAGAAUUUAUAUUUUUAUUGGCUCUUUAGGU
Long non-coding RNA from Hyla sarda, 800 nucleotides. RefSeq lists it as uncharacterized. Lineage: Eukaryota; Metazoa; Chordata; Amphibia; Anura; Hylidae. The transcript has 3 exons. The record is from RefSeq and is a predicted model, not a curated record.